This 75-nucleotide transfer RNA is filed under the name Candidatus Caldarchaeum subterraneum. Its description in RNAcentral is "Candidatus Caldiarchaeum subterraneum (hot springs metagenome) tRNA-Arg". It matches the Rfam family "tRNA". Rfam says of the family: Transfer RNA (tRNA) molecules are approximately 80 nucleotides in length. RNAcentral also lists the same sequence under 1 other name. The record is from RNAcentral. Lineage: Archaea; Thermoproteati; Nitrososphaerota; Candidatus Caldarchaeales; Candidatus Caldarchaeaceae.
GGGCCCGUAGCCCAGAAUGGAUGGGGCGGCGGCCUCCUAAGCCGUAGGUCGUGGGUUCAAGUCCCACCGGGCCCG